UGGGGAAUAUUGCGCAAUGGGCGAAAGCCUGACGCAGCGACGCCGCGUGGGUGAUGAAGGCUUUCGGGUCGUAAAACUCUGUCGGGUGGAACGAAUCUCCGUCUUGCCAAUACCGAGGCGGAAUGACGGUACCACCGAAGGAAGCCCCGGCUAACUACGUGCCAGCAGCCGCGGUAAUACGUAGGGGGCGAGCGUUGUUCGGAUUUACUGGGCGUAAAGAGCGUGUAGGCGGUUCGAUGAGUCGGAGGUGAAAUCCCUCGGCUUAACCGAGGUCCCGCGUCCGAUACUGUCGAACUUGAGUGCAGGAGAGGAGAGCGGAAUUCCCAAUGUAGCGGUGAAAUGCGUAGAUAUUGGGAGGAACACCGGUGGCGAAGGCGGCUCUCUGGACUGCUACUGACGCUGAGGCGCGAAAGCUAGGGGAGCAAACGGGAUUAGAUACCCCGGUAGUCCUAGCCGUAAACGAUGGGCACUAGGUGUGGGAGGUAUCGACCCCUUCCGUGCCGCAGCUAACGCAUUAAGUGCCCCGCCUGGGGAGUACGGCCGCAAGGUUG
RNAcentral lists this ribosomal RNA (551 nucleotides) under uncultured bacterium. RNAcentral describes it as "bacterial SSU rRNA". It matches the Rfam family "Bacterial small subunit ribosomal RNA", at positions 355 to 896 of the family's 1533-position model. The record is from RNAcentral.